CGACGUACUAUCUUGGGGAAAACUAUAAUGAUAAACUUAUAGUUUUAGCAGAAAGUUGGGUGACUGUGUUAGAAAAUACAAAUUGGGUGUUCAAAUAAGGGUCUGGCUGAAACUAUAGGAUCGGGUAUGUUUUCGACGUACUAUCUUUGGGAAAACUAUAAAAAUACAUGUUGGGUAAUUAAGCAAUGUGAAUGAGGAAGGGAUACUAACACUAGCAAAUGAUUUGGUAUGUGGUGGAAAUCUGAUCUUGAGGGAUACAAUACUGAAAGCCAAAACAAUUCACGCAUUUAUGUACAUGUAAUCUACACUCCCAAGGGAUAAUUUACGGGGAACACAUUCUGCAACUUCCGAGUCGCCUAAUAACCUAUAAAUAUUCAUCCACACCAUUGCAUA
Molecule: long non-coding RNA, 393 nt
Organism: Papaver somniferum (opium poppy)
Lineage: Eukaryota; Viridiplantae; Streptophyta; Magnoliopsida; Ranunculales; Papaveraceae
Exons: 3
Source: RefSeq, a predicted model, not a curated record